This 481-nucleotide ribosomal RNA is filed under the name uncultured bacterium. RNAcentral describes it as "partial 16S ribosomal RNA". It matches the Rfam family "Bacterial small subunit ribosomal RNA", at positions 28 to 523 of the family's 1533-position model. The record is from RNAcentral.
GACGAACGCUGGCGGCGUGCUUAACACAUGCAAGUCGAGCGGAAAGGCCACUUCGGUGGUACUCGAGCGGCGAACGGGUGAGUAACACGUGAGUAAUCUGCCCCUGGCUUUGGGAUAGCCACCGGAAACGGUGAUUAAUACCGGAUACGACCACUUCUCGCAUGGGAUGGGGGUGGAAAGUUUUUUCGGCCAGGGAUGUGCUCGCGGCCUAUCAGCUUGAUGGUGAGGUAAUGGCUAACCAUGGCCUCGACGGGUAGCCGGCCUGAGCGGGGGACCGGUCACACUGGGACUGAGACACGGCCCAGACUCCUACGGGAGGCAGCAGUGGGGAAUAUUGGACAAUGGGCGGAAGCCUGAUCCAGCAACGCCGCGUGAGGGAUGACGGCCUUCGGGUUGUAAACCUCUUUCAGCAGGGACGAAGCGCAAGUGACGGUACCUGCAGAAGAAGCACCGGCCAACUACGUGCCAGCCGCCGCCGUAA